Molecule: long non-coding RNA, 3036 nt
Organism: Notothenia coriiceps (black rockcod)
Lineage: Eukaryota; Metazoa; Chordata; Actinopteri; Perciformes; Nototheniidae
Exons: 3
Source: RefSeq, a predicted model, not a curated record
CAGAUAUGUUUUUAUUUGUCAAACUGAAAGAGCUUUUGUUUGAAGCAACACAUUUUUUAACUGUAUACAGUUUAUCACUCUCCUCUUCAGGCUUGAACUUAACCAGCAUUAUAAUACGUAUGUUAUCAUGAUUGACACUCAGAAUGAGGAGGUAAGAAAUAUUCUGUGAAUAGCGGACACAGAAAUACAACAACAGGAUGAGUUUCCACUCUGCUCCCCUUUUUGAACUUGGGAGAUAAAGUUUUACAAUGCACAAGACAAUCAAUGGCUAGUACAAAGUAAAGGCUAUUAGAUCUUUAUGAUAUGCAAGAACAUAAUGCGCCUUGGGACGUCUUUCUUAUACUGUUCAAACUCAUACAUCAUGCAAACUUCCUCAAAGCUUUGUAGCAGACCUGCUGACAGGAAGCUGGCUACAAAGAUCAAUCAGAGCAGAUGCUGGCCAAGAUCUAGUUAUUUAGCAAUAAACAAUUCAAGAGUGCACAAAAUAAUGUGUUUAUGCGUAUCCUUUGUCCAUGAACCUAAGAAAUGACAAUCACUGAUUCACACCAAUUACAAUUUUCACAUAUUGGUAAUUACAGCAAGGUCUUUCAGUGUAAUUUACAUUGUACAAUUGAAGUUUGGCAAUGCAUGAGUGAACUUUUCCAAAGAUAUCCCAUUGUUCUUUAAUAAACCAGAAUAAAAGCUAUACUCUGUUUCAAUCAGCCAGAUAACAAUCAAAAUAUGCUUUUGUUAUGUUUUUACGGUUUCUUGCCAUCUACAAAGAGUAUUAUGUUGAUGGAUGACAGCGCUAAAUGCCCUAGCACGCAACAAUAUAAAGUUAGCAACAAAAUGUUGUGAUGGUGACACAUUUUCUUGGUGUGUUCUUUGCUGUGCUUUUAGAAUUAAGUUUAAAAGUGUUUGAUUUGAAUAUAAAGUGAUGAAAAGAACAAUGGCACUCAGCCAAAAUUACUUUGGUGCAUCAAAUUAAAUAUGUUUUUUUUUAGUGUUACUUUCAGGAUGGGCUGCAAUCUUGGAACAAAUUCAUGGUACUUCUACAAUAUGGAAUGAUUGGAUAGUUAAGUGUCUGAAAGCAUAAAAGCACCCCCCUUCAGCUGUUGUUCUAGCACUCGACACUUUGAGUAAACUAGUUGAGAGUGGGAACCACUAGAGUAAUCCAGGCCUAUUUUUAAACCAUGUGGAAAAGGGCUGUGACACCGCUGCUAUGCCUCAGGUAGUUAUUUUCUUCCAUUUAUUAAACUAGUCAAGCAUCAUUGUUCAUUUACUGCAGCCAACAGCAGAAUCCACACACUGGAAACGGCACAACUAGGAUAUUUUGAUGCGAUGGUAUGGCGGCAUCUUUUUCCCCGGAAACGUAUUUUCCAUGAAACCAUUUAAACAUGCAGAGUUGUUCUCACGUCAUGUGCAAAUACCCACAAGCUCUAAAAUUAAAUUUCAUUUCACAUUAUAUUUCAUUACUAUAUCAUCUGUAAUACACGUAUGAGACUAAAAAUCAGAUCCCCUGAAAUAAAGAGGCUGUCAAUAUUUACUUUAGAGCUCUGUACUGUUACUACGGUUCAUCAUUGUUGUAGGUUGAGAUAGCAUUUUUUCAUAUAUUAUUAAUCUUGAACAUUUGCUCUUUUUUGAAAAACAAAAAGCUACAUUUAAUUAACAAUUAUUAUGUAUCGUACCAAAGGGGUUAAUAAAGAAAAUAACUGUUUUCAAUAUUUGAAUGGAGAGGAGAUGGUUUAAAUAACAGCUCUCACUCAAUUGACGUUUUCUUUAAAUAAUAAUACAGAGACAUAUUUAAAUAGGUGGCCAAAAAUGAUAAAUGUGUGGGUUAAUAUUACAUCUAUCCUGAGUUAGAUCUCCAAGACAACACAAAGACAUUUAACACAGAUCUUAUGCAUCUGACAGCUGAUACAAAUAAAUCAAAAAUAAAUACAAAAAAGAAACAAGCGAAAGAAAACAAUCCAAUUAUCUUAGAAAAAUCGAGCGUUAAUCACACAAAUAAAAAAUGGAGCUCUUUAUGAGAGCAGUAAGACAAGUCAACUGGAGAUAGCUUCAGUGUGCUGCAGUAAACGUUAAACUGCAGGGCCUUUUGUUGUCUCGUAUCAGGUAUCUUCAGUAAGCUUUUGCAGUGUGUUGUAAUGUUUCAGAACUAUUGAAAAAUGCACAUAAAAAUAGGUCCCUAAAUCAAAGCCAUUGUUCCCCGGGCUAGAGGUUUAAAAUGAUUUGUCAUAAUAUACAUUUAUAAUUUACGCACCAUGCAAUUUUUUUGACUUUUACAUAUAAUACAAGAGCAUUAAUAGUGUUUUGAUUGAUGUAGUAAUGUCAGUGUUCAUUAGGGUUAAAGCAUGGCUUGAGGAAAGUCGUAAUCAAAGUAAAAAUAUAUUUGAUAAUGCGGUAAGGUGUGACCUCUACAUGGUAUUUUAGAAAGUUUAGUAAUGGUAUGAAGUUGGUAAAUAAUGUCCAAUGAAGCACGACAGACAGCUUUCACAUGUUUGUUAAAAAGUGACACUGUACUAAUAGCUUCCAUGGCAACAGGAUGAAACCACAGCAAGAACCCCCCGACUCCAACCCCACCCCAACCCCACAUAUAUUACAGAAGUUCAUUCCAAACAGGAUGGUAAAUCUUGAGGAGAAUAAAAAGACAAAGUUCACGCUUUAAAGAGGAAAUUAAAAGACAAGAGUGGGUUAAGGGCAGGUUUUAAAUCAUUGUACAAAAGGAACAAACAGCAACCCACCACAACCAAACACGUAUUCUUGAAAAAUCCAUUGGAAAUUGAUUUCUUUUUACAGGUUGCACAGUUUAUUUUUGAAAUACAGGGAGAGAUACUCCAGUAUGCCACGGGAUAGGGGGAACAUGGCAAGAAAGAUGGAAGACAGGACUUCACUCUUCCUCUGUGCAUCCCAGUACUUCUGCACGCAAAGUGAUCCUGCCGUACCAUGACCAGGGAAGGAUCCGGAGGAGCCGAGCGUAGAUGGGGGGAUCUAACACGUUCUUUCGGUGCGUGUCGUUGUCAAAGUUACCUUGGAAUACCUUGUCCUUCCACUGAA